GCAUCUUGGCUGUCUCCUAAAAAAAUGUACAUUCUCUUGCUGGAGAUUGAACUGCGGACUGCAAAAUACCCCAUGGCCGAUUAUCAUCGUUUAAGGGAGCCCCGAAACGAAGCCGCUCGGCCGGGGCGGUGGAAGAAGCUGGGAGCGCCUCAGCCCAACCCUGCGCAGCUGGACGAGGUCUGCCCGGAGAGGCCAUUGGAGGAAGAGCGCCACGUGACAGAGG
This is a non-coding RNA of Lonchura striata (white-rumped munia), 223 nucleotides long. Lineage: Eukaryota; Metazoa; Chordata; Aves; Passeriformes; Estrildidae. The record is from RefSeq and is a predicted model, not a curated record.